RNAcentral lists this ribosomal RNA (228 nucleotides) under uncultured bacterium. RNAcentral's name for it is "partial 16S ribosomal RNA". It matches the Rfam family "Bacterial small subunit ribosomal RNA", at positions 568 to 795 of the family's 1533-position model. The record is from RNAcentral.
UGCGCAGGCGGACUAAUAAGUCAGAGGUGAAAGCCCACAGCUUAACUGUGGAACUGCCUUUGAUACUGUUAGUCUUGAGUGCAGUUGAGGUAGGCGGAAUGUGUUAUGUAGCGGUGAAAUGCUUAGAUAUGACACAGAACACCAAUCGUGAAGACAGCUUACCAAGCUGCUACUGACGCUCAGGCACGAAAGCGUGGGGAGCGAACAGGAUUAGAUACCCUGGUAGUC